GACGAACGCUGGCGGCGUGCUUAACACAUGCAAGUCGAACGGACAGGCCCUGCUUUUGUGGGGUGCUCGAGUGGCGAACGGGUGAGUAACACGUGAGUAACCUGCCCUUGACUUUGGGAUAACUUCAGGAAACUGGGGCUAAUACCGGAUAGGAGCUCCUGCUGCAUGGUGGGGGUUGGAAAGUUUCGGCGGUUGGGGAUGGACUCGCGGCUUAUCAGCUUGUUGGUGGGGUAGUGGCUUACCAAGGCUUUGACGGGUAGCCGGCCUGAGAGGGUGACCGGCCACAUUGGGCCUGAGAUACGGCCCAGACUCCUACGGGAGGCAGCAGUGGGGAAUAUUGCACAAUGGGCGGAAGCCUGAUGCAGCAACGCCGCGUGCGGGAUGACGGCCUUCGGGUUGUAAACCGCUUUCGCCUGUGACGAAGCGUGAGUGACGGUAAUGGGUAAAGAAGCACCGGCUAACUACGUG
RNAcentral lists this ribosomal RNA (468 nucleotides) under uncultured bacterium. RNAcentral's name for it is "partial 16S ribosomal RNA". It matches the Rfam family "Bacterial small subunit ribosomal RNA", at positions 28 to 507 of the family's 1533-position model. The record is from RNAcentral.